Pelobates cultripes (western spadefoot toad) is the source of this 259-nucleotide non-coding RNA. NCBI's taxonomy places the organism in Eukaryota, Metazoa, Chordata, Amphibia, Anura, Pelobatidae. The record is from the annotation of a GenBank genome assembly.
GUGAGAGAGGGGGUGACUAGUGACAGAGUGAGGAAGGGGGUGACAUAGUGAGGGAGGGGGUGACUAGUGACAUAGUGAGAGAGGGGGUGACUAGUGACAGAGAGAGGGAUGGGGUGACUAGUGACAGUCACCCCCUCUCUCACUCUGUCACUAGUCACACCCUCUCUCACUCUGUCACCAGUCAUCCCUUCCUUCCCUCACUCUGCCACUAGUCAUCCCUUCCCUCACUCUGUCACCAGUCACCCCUUCCUUCCUUCAC